RNAcentral lists this ribosomal RNA (515 nucleotides) under bacterium enrichment culture clone ALO1_GLFRUDD03G7V7G. RNAcentral's name for it is "bacterial SSU rRNA". It matches the Rfam family "Bacterial small subunit ribosomal RNA", at positions 9 to 520 of the family's 1533-position model. The record is from RNAcentral.
GAGUUUGAUCGUGGCUCGGAUUGAACGCUGGCGGCAGGCCUAACACAUGCAAGUCGAGCGGAUGACGGGAGCUUGCUCCUUGAUUCAGCGGCGGACGGGUGAGUAAUGCCUAGGAAUCUGCCUGGUAGUGGGGGACAACGUUUCGAAAGGAACGCUAACACCGCAUACGUCCUACGGGAGAAAGCAGGGGACCUUCGGGCCUUGCGCUAUCAGAUGAGCCUAGGUCGGAUUAGCUAGUUGGUGGGGUAAUGGCUCACCAAGGCGACGAUCCGUAACUGGUCUGAGAGGAUGAUCAGUCACACUGGAACUGAGACACGGUCCAGACUCCUACGGGAGGCAGCAGUGGGAAUAUUGGACAAUGGGCGAAAGCCUGAUCCAGCCAUGCCGCGUGUGUGAAGAAGGUCUUCGGAUUGUAAAGCACUUUAAGUUGGGAGAAGGGCAGUAAGUUAAUACCUUGCUGUUUUGACGUUACCGACAGAAUAAGCACCGGCUAACUCUGUGCCAGCAGCCGACCG